CACACGCAGGGAGCAGGCAAGUCUCGUCCAACAGAUUCCACCCCUCCACCGAUCUUGCCCCAGCGAGGCAUCGACGUGCCGUGGAGGGAUCCCUAGCGCCGCUCCUCCUCCUCUCCAGUUUCCAUACUGGGAUUCCUUCUAAUAAAGAUCCAAGCAGUAUCUCCUUGAUGCCCUUCCUCUCCAGCCCUUGAAUCGCCUCUGCCCCAAAGGUAUGCUAUGAUAUCCAAGUGAUUGGAAAUCUGAAUCAAUCCUUCCUCUCUGGUUCUCCCUAAUAUCUUUGUUUGUAACCUUUGAAUCUCCUUAGCUUUCAUGUCCUGAGUACGCUGCAAUCAUGCAUCUAUUUUUGAUCUUACAAGAAUAUAUCCCGUGAUGAAUAUUGUUUGAUGGGAGAGCCAUACCGAUGGUAGUUUGAAUUAAUUUAGUUGGCCACCGCCAUGGACGAUACUGGGCAUUCCACAUGCCCUCGACGCAAGAUGCCCACCAGAAUGAACCCCAUGCUACAAUUAUAUUGCUUGAGGGUGGAAAAGCCUGAAAAGUUUAGGGAAGAUUCAAGGUACAGGUAGAUGUAUGUUGCCUAUGUACAAUCCUAUAGUUUAUUUUAUUUGCAAAUUGUGCAUAGUAAUAAAUUUCUACAAGAAGAUGCAAAAUAAUUGAUCACAUAUAGCCUGCGUGCGAACAUACAUGUCCUAGAUCUGUUUAUAAUAAUUUCGUAUUACUGAGAUUUUAUCAUGCUAUUAAGUAGUACCCUAGCAGGAAACAUACUGUUGCUGCAAUUUUUCUUUUGGCAUGCAAGGGCUGAAGUCUGUUGAAUUCAGGUACUGUUGCUGCCAUUUUUCUUCAUCUAAUUUUCUCUACUAUUUUUCGAAAUGAUUCAAUGGAAUUUCAUUAUGUGGUUGCAACCGUGAUAGUAAACUGUCAUAAAAGUUGGGAAAGAAAUGACAUCACUGCUCACAUAACUCAGACUAAAUUCGCUUCUCAUGUUAUUUAAUAGAGUGAUUUUUAUCACAGUGAACACCACCAGCACUGCUUGGCCACUUCACCACCUGCCUCUAGCCGUUCAGUAACCUACAGGUCAUGCUUUGCAAAUUAUCAGCCUUCGUCGGCUGGUUAUUUGUUGUUUAUUUUGCUCACCAUUAUUUCCGUGUUAUUAAUUGGAGAAAGUAUGAUGUAUCGCUUAUCCAUACUGUUGGUGUAGCCCAGACAACGGUCUGUGAUGCAGGAUCCUUGGUUUUCGAGUGAUUGAUCUCCAUGUAAUUCAAAUUUAUGGUGGCAUAAUACGCAUUGAUAUUCACACAUUUCCUCAACUAAGUUUAUGAUUGUUUUCAGUCCCUACAAUAAUUUAUAGUGCAGGCCGCAGAUAUGGUUAGUGCAAUUCCAACUCCAUAGAGAACUUACUGUAAAUGACCGAUUCCGUGGCUUCCUUUUGUUACCUUUGCGAACUCAAUCCAGAGGUUUUGCUUUUUCUUCAGUCAUCCAUACCUCAAACCUGAUAGUGCUUACUAAUUUCGCAAAUAUCUGGUGCAUGUACAUCCCUUCACAUGAGACCUAUAAAUUACUUUCUUUUAGGAAAUACUCUAAUUGCAGAGAUUUAUUCUUUGUUAAUGGCUCGACUAAUUUGGAUUACUCUUAUAUUUAUUUUUUCUAUCGUGAAUUUUUCGCAGGUACGAGUAAAUAUUGGUUCUUUGACAUUGAUCCUUAAAUUUAAUAGUACUAAUUCAGAAGAUGGGUGCAUAACGAUAUCAUCGGAUUAAACAAGUUGAAAAUGCAGCAAUUCAGGAAUCACCUGAAUCAAUUCAGACCAUUGCCGCAGAUGUCCUUGAACUGCCUCUCCUUCCACCUGAAGAUGUUGCCACUCCUUCAAAGCACAAACUUUCAGACCAGAGCAUGCAGCAAUCCAACAGAAGAUUUCGCCACUCCUUAAACUGCCACCACACACACCGAAUCGUCGGCCUUGAGCGAAGCCUGCUUGUUCCUCACAUCAAACGCCUGUAGAAAUCCAAGAAGAUGAAGAAAUUGGGUGGACAUGGCCCGACCAAUCCAAGAAGAUAAAGAAGAAAUUGCAAUGGGCGCAGUAGAUCGAAGGGAGGAGAAGUGGAAAAAGGAGACCUUUGACUCCGGCGGGCUCCUGGAUCAUAAACUACUUUUUCAUUCGGGUAUGGACGUGGGUGGUAUCAUUUUCACAGGAGCAGCGUCUGGACAUGCAUCAAUAGGUGCUAAACUCACAUGCUACUACAAUGGACGGCUCUACAACAUUUUAUUUUAGAUGUACAACAAUAGAAGGGAAAUGUGCAUGCAGACGAUCAUGUGUUUGACGAUCAUACUUCUAAGUCCUUACUAUAACAACAAGAAGUUAAUCAGCAUGAUGUACUUAUGUUGUUGUGAUCAAACAUGUUGUCAUGCUUUAAAUGCCAUGGUAAUUUUCAUUGCAACGUCCACUUUACUCUAC
This is a long non-coding RNA of Triticum dicoccoides, 2446 nucleotides long. RefSeq lists it as uncharacterized. The transcript is spliced from 3 exons. NCBI's taxonomy places the organism in Eukaryota, Viridiplantae, Streptophyta, Magnoliopsida, Poales, Poaceae. The record is from RefSeq and is a predicted model, not a curated record.